CUCUCCUGUGCUGCUUGUCUAACUGAUUCAAAUCCACAUAGAUAAAUUUAAGCACAUUAAGUUUUCAAACUCAAAUCAAACAGCUUUAAAAGUUACUUCACAAACAAUGAAUUUCAUUUUCGAAAUACAAAGAAUCCGUUCAGUUUAAAACAAUAAAAAAUCGUCUACGACUACUCAACUCAUGUAUUAUAACUAAAAAAACGAAGGAUACCCACAAAAAUUAAAGAUAAAUUACCAAAAACCCAAAAAACUCAAGCCAAAAUUGCCAAAAAAAAAAAAGCGAGAGAAUGGAAAUUGGGGUACCAGGGGCGGGCGAGAGGAAACGAGAAGAGGAAGAAAGAGGGGUUUUAGAGAGAGUGGGAAUUAGUGGAGGCAAAAAUGGAGAGUUUUGCCUCCACUAAUGAUUGGUGGGGUGGUGAUGGCGGUGGUGGGGUUAAUGUUCUGGAGGGUAUGCUGAAGAGAGGUCGCAAGAGAACCUCCAUAGCCUUUAAAGAGAGUUGAGUUGCUGCUUUCUUUUGCCGUGGAUGGAGAGAGAUUAAGGGAUUAGAAUUCUGUAUGGAAUUUACUUUUUAUUAAAUAAAAAAUUAAUGUUAAAAUCAUUUUAUUUUAUUUUUUUAUCUAGUUAUCAUUGACUUAAUAUUUUGGAUCUUCAUCCAAAGUAAAGGCACAAAAUUUUUAUUCUAAAUAAAUAUUCUCAAUAUAAAUUUAUCACUUAAAUAAUAAAUGAUAAGAUUUUAUAUUAAUUCUGUCAUUACUGAAAUGAAUUACAAAUUUUAUAUGACGUGUAAACGUAUCAUUAUAUUCUUGAUAUUUGACAUCUUGACUAAAGCAACAAAUGUAUCAUAUUUUUAUUUUGGUAUUGUGGUUCUCUAAAAAUACCCUCACCAAAUUAGCUUAAUUCUUUUCAUUGUACCCAUUGCUUCUCUUCCUCUUUUCGUCAACGACAAUGGGUAACUUAAUCUCAACCUUCUUACCAGCAGACUUAUUUGAUCGAACUUCAAACUGCGUUGGUGAACAAGCAAAAUAUGUAUGGGGUCUCGAAAAAAAUCUUCGGGUCUUGGAGACUGAAUUGCACAAAUUGACUCGAGCAAGGGCCGAUCUGAAGACCAAGGUUGAGGUCGAAGAACAACGACCUCGAACCAGACGAACGAACCAGGUCGCAGGGUGGCUUGAAGAUGUGCAAAAUCUGGAAACUGAAUUUACCGAGCUGGAACGAGUUAGAGCUCAUGAAAUGGAUAGAUUGUGCCUUGGAGGCCUCUGUUCCAAAAACUUCGUUUCAAGCUACAAUUAUGGGACUCAGGUGGUCGAGUUGACGGAUCGAGUGAUCAAUUUAAAGAAAGAUGGAGAAAAAAUUGAAGUCGUUGUUGAGAAGGCGCCGGAUGGUGCAGCAAUUGAAUUACCUCUUGAUCACACAGUUGUUGGUCAAGAAUUAUUACUUGAUCAAGUUUGGAGAUGUAUCACUGAUCAGGAAAAUAACAGGGGAAUUAUCGGCUUGUAUGGUAUGGGGGGAGUCGGCAAAACUACCCUUUUAAAACAAGUCAACAACAACUUCCGCCAUCAACAGCAUAUUUUUGAUGUUGUUAUCUGGACGGCUGCGUCAACACUUCAAGAUGACAUUGGAAAAAGGAUUGGCUUUUCAGAAGACAGAAACUGGAAGGAAAAAAGUCUUCAAGACAAGGCUGUGGACAUCGCUAGCAUUUUAAGCGGAAAGAAGUUUGUGUUGUUAUUAGAUGAUGUAUGAGAGCGCAUUGAUUUAACAGAAUUGGGUGUCCCUCUUCAAAAACUAAAUGAUGGGUCCAAAGUAGUCUUGACAACUCGUUCAGCUGGUGUUUGCGAUCAAAUGGACGCUGAAAAGUUGGAAGUGUAUAGUUUGGCGCAUGAUAAAGCCUGGGAAUUAUUUCAGGAGAUGGUCGAAAGAUCCACUCUUGACAGUCAUACCAGUAUUCCAGAGCUAGCCGAAACCUUGGCAAGAGAGUGUGGUGGGUUGCCGCUAGCGCUUAAAAUAGUGGGUCGAGCGAUGAAAAGCCAAAGGAAAGUUGGAGAUUGGAAACGUGCAAUUAACAAAAUGAGAACAUCAGCUUCUAAAUUCUCAGGUAUGAAGGAAGAGGUGUUUUCGCGUUUAAAGUUCAGCUAUGAUAGUUUGUCUACGGAUGAACUUCGUUCCUGUCUCCUGUAUUGUUAUUUAUAUCCUGAAGACUACGAAAUUCCUAAAAGGGAAUUGAUUGAUUAUUGGAUUAGUGAAGGAUUUGUGUAUGAUUUUGAUGAUGGAUGCGAUUUUAUUGAUGACCUUCUUCAAGCAUGCUUAUUGGAGGAAGAAGGCGAUGAUCAUGUAAAGAUGCAUGAUAUGAUUCGUGAGAUGUCAUUAUGGAUAGCGUGCACGGUAGACAAGGAGGAGCAGAACUUUCUGGUUCGCGCUGGAGUUAAAUUGACCGAAGCACCAAAGGUUGAAGAAUGGGAAGGUGCCAAACGGAUAUCUCUGACGGCAAAUGGAAUUGGAAGCCUAUCGGAAAUUCCCACGUGUCCACGUCUCGUCACUUUACUUCUGGAUGGAAAUCGGAUUGAGGAGAUUACUGAUGGCUUCUUUCAAUCUCUGUCGACUCUUAGAGUAUUAAGUCUAAGAGGAAAUUUUCCCCCAAGUACACUACCUUCAGGGAUUUCAGGUUUGGUUUCAUUACAUCAUCUUGAUCUUUCUUCGACUGACAUAACUGGGUUGCCGCAAGAGCUGAAGGCAUUGGAGAAGCUGAGAUAUUUGAACUUGGACUAUGCAUUUCAUUUGUCUAUAAUUCCACAUCAAUUGAUAUCUUGUUUUUCAAAGUUGGAGGUACUCAGGUUGUGUGGGUGCGGUCGCUUUGGUGUAAUAAAAGGGAAAGAAGGUAACGUUCUAUGUGAUGGUGCUGAACCUUUGAUGAAGGAAUUGCUGGGUUUGAAGCAUUUAAAUGUUUUAAGCUGGUCCUUCGGAAGUUCACUUGCUGUCCAAAAGUUUUUGAAAUAUCCAAAGCUGGUGAGCAUCACUCAAUCUGUAUGGGUUGAAUGUGGCACGUAUACAAGGCCACCGUUCAAUGUCUUACAUCUGGCAUACAUGGAGAAUCUUCAGGAGUUAGAACUUGAAUCCUGUAAUUUGGAAGAGAUGAAGAUUGACAGCACAGAAGAGGUAAAGAAACUUUUUCGAAAUGGUUUCCGCAAUCUUAACACAGUUGUCCUAAGGUCUUGCAGAGGGAAGGACUUAACGUGGCUUGUUUUUGUUCAAAAUCUCAAGCAGCUAAAUAUGCAGGGUUUUACUAUGGAAGAGAUAAUCAGUGUUGAAAAAUUGAGUGAUAUUUCAGAGGUAAUCGGGUCAGAGCAUAACUUUUUCCCACGACUCGAAUAUCUAACCAUGUGGCGGGGAACAAAUUUAAAGAGCGUUUACCCGAAUCCCCAGCCUUUUCCAAAGCUGAAGAAAAUUCAAGCAUUUCAUUGCCGACAGCUGUAGAAGCUCCCACUCAAUUCCAGCAGCGCGAAGGGACGUCGAGUUGUGAUGACAAUGCUAUAUUUGCUGCAGGACUUGAGUAAAAAUAAAAACAGCAAGAUUUGAUUAUGCUGUCAAUAAAAUCCUGCAAGAUUGUAGGAAAAAAAUUUGUUUUUAAAUUUUAUGAUAUCAGAUAUAUGUUAAAGAUAUGUAGGCAGAUUUUUUGGCUUUGUUUGUUUCUUUUCAUGUAUAAAUUCAAAUACUGCAAUAAUGAAUAAAAUACUGCAAUUAACAGACCCAAUUUCUAUGUGUUCUCUUUUCUUUGUUUAAAACCAACAAGGUGGUAUCAGAGCCCUUAUUCUUAAGGGACUUGUAACGUGAUUAGAGAGGCUUCCUACACUUCAAUAUGGCAGGAAAUGGUUUCUUAUCUGCUCCUCCAGUUUUCACAGGUGAAAAUUAUCAAAUAUGGGCUGUGAAAAUGGAAUCUUACUUGGAUGCAUGUGACCUAUGGGACUUGGUGGAAGCAGAUCCAGAGGAUCCACCAUUAGCUCAUAUGAGGAAUAACAGGGAUGAAAGAAAAUGGAGAUAUAAGGCCAAGACAUGCAUUCACUCUGCAGUUUCGGAGACAAUUUUUACAAAGAUCAUGACUUGUGAAACAACGAAACAGGCAUGGGAUCUUUUGAAACAAGAAUAUCAGGGGAACGUCAGGACAAAACAAAUGCAGGUCCUGAACCUGAGAAGGGAAUUUGAAAUGUAGAAAAUGAAGGAGACAUAAACAGUUAAUGACUAUAAAGACAAGUUGAUGAUGAUUGCCAAUAAAAUUAGAAUGCUUGGGGAAGAGUUUUCUGAUAGAAGGAUUGUAGAGAAGAUUUUGGUGACCUUGCCUCAGAGAUUUGAAUCUAAAAUCUCUUCACUUGAAGAGUCCAGAGAUAUGUCAACAAAGGAGAGCUUACAGAAAGGAGGAGAUAGUUGAAGGAGCAUUUCAAGUGAAAGAGGCUGAUCAAGCUCAGGGAGGCAGCAAAGAAAAGAAACAGUGGAGUAAGAAGAUUUACAAGAAGGGGGAAAGUAGCAUCAAUGAAGGCAACAAGGGCAAGCACUCCCCGUGUCCUCACUAUAAGAAAACCUCUCAUCCGCAAAAGAAAUGUUGGUUUAGGCCUGACAUUCAAUGCAGGGCAUGCAAGCAAAUUGGGCAUAUGGAGAGGGUGUGUAAAAACAAACAGCAAGAAGGACAUCAAGCUCAAGCAGCAGAACAACAACAGGAUGAACAACUUUUUGUUGUAUCUUGUUUUUCGAGUAACAGUUCGAGUGAUGAUUGGCUCAUCGACAGCGGAUGCACAAAUCACAUGUCUUUUGAUGAAUCUCUUUUCAAAGAAGUAAACAAGUCAGAAGUGUCAAGAGUUAAAGUUGGCAAUGGGCAGUAUAUUGAAGUGAAAGGUAAAAGGACAGUUGCAAUAAAAAGCUCAGCAGGUAUCAAGUUAAUUUCUGAUGUAUUACUUGUUCAUAAAAUUGAUCAAAAUCUACUGAGUGUGGGACAAUUGCUUGAGAAAGGUUAUUCUGUUGAAUUUAAGAAUAACAUGUGUGUCAUUACUGACCCAAAUGGUGUAGUGUUGUUCUCUGUGAAAAUGAAUAGCAAAAGCUUCAGCUUAAGUUGGAACAAGGAUGAAUGUAGUGCAUAUCAAUGUACUUUGAACCAGGCUGAGUUAUGGCACAAGCGGAUGGGGCAUUUUCAUUAUUCUGCAUUAGAUUACAUGCAGAAAAAUGAUCUUGUGCAAGGAAUGACUUUCAAUGGAGGAGGAGCAUCAGUGUGUAGAGUCUGUCAGCUGGGAAAACAAGCUAGAUUGCUAUUCCCUGUUAAUAAGGCAUGGAGAGCAGUUGAGAAGCUUCAGUUAAUCCACACAGAUGUUUGUGGACCUAUGAGGACUGCAUCCUUAAAUGGUAAUAGGUACUUCAUGGUUCUUAUUGAUGAUUUUAAUAGAAUGUGUUGGAUUUACUUUCUCAAACAAAAAUCUGAAGUUGCUAGUGUAUUUUGGAAGUUUAAAAAAUGGAUUGAAAAUCAAAGUGGUUGUAAAAUCAAGGUGAUUAGAUCUGAUAAUGGGACUGAAUAUACAGCUGAUAAAUUUGCUAAGUUUUGUGAAGCUGCAGGGAUUGAACAUCAGCUUACAACAACCUAUACACCUCAACAAAAUGGAGUCAGUGAGAGGAAAAACAUGACAGUCAUGGAGAUGGCUAGAUGUUUGUUGUUUGAGAAGGAAAUGCCAAAAAUGUUUUGGGCUGAGGAUGUUAAUACUGCUGUAUUUCUGCAAAACAAGUUACCAACAAAGGCUUUAAAGGGAAAAACACCUUUUGAAGCUUGGUUUGGUUUUAAACCCUCUAUUCAUAACUUGAGAAUUUUUGGUUGCAUGUGUUUUACUCAUGUUCCAGAUGCAAAAAGAGAGAAGUUGGAUCAAAAGGCAGAAUAUGGAGUUUUUGUAGGAUACAACACUCUCACCAAAGGUUAUAGAGUUUAUCAACCUUUGACGGGAAGAAUCAUAGUGAGUAGAGAUGUUAAAUUUGAUGAAACUGGAGGAUGGAAUUGGGCAACAGCUGAACCAAAGCAAGUUUAUGCAGAAGAAAAAACAUCAGAAUUGCAAGAUGAUGAUAUAAUUGAUGAUGAACCAAUAAGAGGUACCAGACCACUUAUAGAAAUUUAUCAAAAGUGCAAUAUGGUUGUGCUUGAACCUGCAGGUUAUAAUGAGGCUGCUAAAGAUCCAAAGUGGCUUGAACCAAUGGAAGAUGAGAUCAAGAUGAUUCACAAGAAUCAAACUUGGGAGUUGGUGGACAGACCACUACACAAGAAAACUAUUGGUGUGAAAUGGGUUUAUAGAACCAAACUCAAUGCUGAUGGUUCUGUAAACAAAUUCAAAACAAGGCUAGUUGUAAAAGGGUAUGCUCAACUAUUUGGUGUUGACUUUUCUGAAACGUUUGCACCUGUAGCAUGGCUGGACACCAUCAGAUUGCUUUUAGCACUUGCAGCACAAAAGCAGUGGAAAAUCUACCAGCUUGAUGUUAAAUCAGCUUUUUUAAAUGGCUAUUUGGAUGAAGAAAUCUUUGUUGAGCAACCUGAGGGUUUUGUUGCAGAUCUGAAGAAAGUAUAUUUGUUAAAAAAAGGCAUUAUAUGGCUUGAAGCAGGCUCCAAGAGCUUGGUACAGCAGGAUUGAUGAUCAUUUGCUGAACAUAGGCUUCAACAAGAGCAUGAGUGAAUCAACUUUGUAUAUUCAAGUAAUUAAUCAUGAAUUGAUUGUUGUUUCACUUUAUGUUGAUGAUUUUCUUGUCACAGGAAGCAAUGAAGAAUUAGUGAAGCAAUUUAAGGUUCAAAUGAUGCAAGCAUUUGAAAUGACUGAUCUAGGAGAGAUGACUUUCUUUUUAGGUCUGGAGAUUCAAAAGUCACAGCAAGGGAUCUUCAUUGGACAGCAAAAAUAUGCUAAAGAAGUGCCAAAGAAAUUCAACAUGGAGGAUUGCAAGUCAGUAUGUACUCCUUUAGCUCAAAAUGAGAAAUUUAGUAAAGAUGAUGGUGCUGAAAAGAUUGACGAAGCAUUAUAUAGGAGUAUUAUAAGUUGCUUGAUGUAUUUGACAGCAACAAGACCUGAUAUAAUGUUUGAUGUAAGUUUGCUGUCCAGAUAUAUGCAUUGUGCAAGUGAAUUGCACUACAAAGCUGCUAAAAGGGUGCUCAGGUAUAUCAAGGGAACUUUGGAUCAUGGAAUAAAAUUUGAGAAGGAAGACAAGCUGAUUUUGCAUGGUUUUGCUGAUAGUGAUUGGGCAGGAUCCUGUGAUGAUAUGAGGAGCACGUCAGGCUACUUGUUUAGUCUUGGUUCAAGUUGUUUCUGUUGGAGUUCAAAGAAGCAGGAAAUCGUAGCUCAGUCUACUGCUGAGGCUGAGUAUGUUGCAGCUGCUGCUGCAGUCAAUCAAGCCUUAUGGCUAAGGAAGCUUAUGACAGAUUUGAAAAUGAUUCAGGAUUAUGCAACUGAAAUCUUUGUUGAUAAUCAAGCUGCCAUAGCAAUUUCUAACAAUCCAGUGUUCCAUGGGAAGACAAAGCAUUUCAAAAUUAAAGUAUUAUUUUGUUAGAGAAGUCCAGAAGAAUGAUGAAGUAAGGCUCGUGUAUUGCAAGACUGAAGAUCAGCUAGCUGACAUUUUGACAAAGGGACUGUCAAAGUCAAGAUUUGAGUUGUUGAAGAAAAGAAUUGGUGUCUGCAGCAAAAAUAGCAAGGAGGAGUGAUGACAAUGCUAUAUUUGCUGCAGGACUUGAGUAAAAAUAAAAAUAGCAAGAUUUGAUUAUGCUGUCAAUAAAAUCCUGCAAGAUUGUAGGAAAAAAAUUUGUUUUUGAAUUUUAUGAUAUCAUAUAUAUGUUAAAGAUAUGUAGGCAGAUUUUUUGACUUUGUUUGUUUCUUUUCAUGUAUAAAUUCAAAUACUGCAACAAUGAAUAAAAUACUGCAAUUAACAGCCUCAAUUUCUUUGUGUUCUCUUUUCUUUGUUUAAAACCAACAAAUUGUCAUCGAGGGAACGAAAAAAUGGUGGGAAGAGCUACAAUGGGAGGAUCAAGCCACCCAAAAUGCUUUCUUUUCCUGUGCCGUACUUUGGGAGGAUCCUUAUUAUUAAUAUGUUUGAAUAUGUAUUUCCUUUUUCUUUUUUUUCUUGCUAUAGAGUUGCAUGAUUGUGAUGAUCCUUAUUAUUAUUAUCCUUUUUUUUUUUCACAUGAAGUUCAGUAACUACUUCCGAGAUUAAUAAGAUCCAACUCGUUUUUGGUUUAGUCAAAAACUUUUUGUGGCUCUAAAUCCUUUUUAACACCAGGCCAGGCAUCCACAAAUAUAUUGACACCAUUUUAUUUAUUGAUGUUUAUAUAACUGAAUUGAUUACAAAUUACCCUUUUUGUCCAGUGUGUUCAGAAUAUACUCUGCACAACUAACACAAAAAUAAACAUGUAACAUACUAAUCGUUUAUGUUAAUUUAUGGAGGCCUUAUUGUCCAAGGCAUAUGUAAAACCAUUUCACAUUCGGCAUUGUAAUGUUUAUGGACGGAUUUAAAUGAUGUCACACAAAGUCACAAAUAGUUAAAAAAAAGAAGGUGUUUGUUUUAAAAUGUUGGCAUAUUUAUGGAGUGGGAACUCAGAUGCUGAACUCUGAAUGGGCUGGAAUCGGAAUGGGUUAGAAUCGGAAUGAGCCGGAAUGAGAAUGGGGAAUGAGAGUCAAAAUAAGUUGUUUAUUUGAACUGUAGGAAUCGAAAUCGGAAUGAGUUAGAACCCCAUUAAUGUGUUUACUUUAUCUAAGAAUCGAAAUCGGAAUAAGUUAAGUUGUUUUAAGUUACUAAAACACCCUUAGUUGUUAAUAAUAAUAAUAAUAGUUGUCCUUUGGUAUUAAUGAUAAUAAUAAUAAAUUUAAUAAUAACAUUAUAAAUAAAUAAAUAAUAGUAAUAAUUAAUGAUAAUAAUGAAAUUAAAUAACAACUACUAAUACUACAAUAAUAAUAAUAAUAAUAAUAAUAAUAAUAAUAAUAAUAAUAAUAAUAAUAAUAAUAAUAAUAAUAAUAAUAAUAAUAAUAAUAAUAACAACAACAACAACAACAUUAAUAACAAAUAAGCAAACAAUGAAAUAAUACAAACACCAAUCUACAUAAUUUUAAUGUACAAUAAGUGGCCGAACAAUAUAAGAAAUUAAUAAUUUAAAAUAUAAAAUUAUAAUUCCCAAAACAAACAUUGUGCUCCUCUUCACCGGAUGUAGCAGAUCGCGACGAAAAAUGGCGGCAGGAUGAGCGCGACCACGGUGGCAACAGAUCGAUCGGGACCACGGCGGCAGAUCGUGACGAACGAAAGCAGCAGAUCGCAGCCUUUUGACACCCCCUCGAAGACCCUCCUUUAAAUUCCUUAUAACUCUUUAAUUAAAAUUAUUUAAAUAAUUAAAGAUAAAUUAAUUCCAUUUUAUUUUGAUGGAAAAUUUAAUUAAUACUUAAAUAAAAUUAUUCUUUUAACAUUUUUCCACCCACCUCAUUUCAUAUAUAUAUAUAUAUAUAUAUAAUUUUUAGAAACUUUUAAUAAUUUAUAAUCUUUUUAAGGUGAAAUUUAAUGAGAAGAUUAUUAAUUUUAAUUUAUGGAUUAGUAUUUUAUAAAUUAAACCAAGGUACUUUGAUAAAUAAAAAUUAAAACAAGUUUUAUAAGGAUUUUGGAGUGUACGAAUUCAGAAUAUAGAUUUUCAUGGGGACGUUGAAUAUGCUGAAGCUGAAGCUAUGAAUUUUAGAAUAAAAAUGGCAAUAGACUUUGGUUUAAUGCCAUUAAUUGUUGAAUCAGACUCGAAUACUAUUUUAAACUUGGCGAAAGGUUUUGAAAGAAGUAUGAAAGAAAUAUCAUGGUUAAUUUUCGAGAUUCGAAAUUGUAUGGUUGUGAAAGACCACUUCGAAAUCAAUCUUACAUAGAGAAGUAGUAGUGAGACCACUCAUAAAUUAGAUAAAUAUGAUGUUAACAAUUCAGGCUGUGUAAUUUGGUUGGAGGAAAUUUCAACUCAUGUAAGUCUUUUUCCUUUAAGCGAUUAAUUGAAGUUUUCCAUUUCCAAAGAGAGAUAGAGAGAGAGAGAGAGCUCAACUCAAAUGAAAGUACGAAACAAAGAGUAAAUCCUGAUAGUAGAAAAAUGAGCCAUGAGUAGAACUAUUCGCACCUUUGAAAGCCCUCAUAAAAAUCUUUCUUCAAUAUGUCCCGCUAAAUCAUUUAAAAAAUAAUAUUAUUUCUAAGGGCAGAGCUAUUUGCACUCUAAAAAUUAUUCUCAACGUUUUAUUACUAUAUACACAUAUUUAUUAAUUUAAAAAAAUGAACUAUAUUUUGUACAACUAUGAUGCCACUUCCACCUCCAAUUGAAUGUCAGAAAAUUCAAAGUUUGUCAAAAGAGGAUGGUAAAUUAAGCCCCCUUUUUUUUUUAAUCUGGAUUUGGUUGAACAUUUUUAUGUCGCAAAAAUGUUUGCUGUGUUGUAAUGCCUAAGUGUUGCAGACUAGUUUGUAAGAGUCUGAAUAAUUGUCCAUGUUACUCUGGUAUUGUGGAAUGCCAUGUAUUUUUUGGCCAAAAGAAAAAAUCAAGCAACCAAUGUAAACUUGUUUAAUAUCAUCAUAAUAUAACUGAAAAAGAAGUAAUUAUAGUCAUACAAAAAAAAUUAAUAAUUGUCAUGUCCUUAAUAAUAAUUUAUAUCAUAAAUAUUAUUGAAAUAAUUUUUUUUUAUAAAAUUAUCAGUGUUUAGUGUAAUUUUUAGAGUGUAUAUAGCCUCAUUCUAUUUCUAAACCCACAUAAGUUGAUUCCAAAAACACCCUUGGCUUACACACCAACCCCAUUUUCACAUUUUCUUCGUCUUGGGGAGCUUGAAACCCAAAUCUGAUGGCUUCAACUUUCGAAUAAUCAUUAUCUCCAUUAGAACUUAUAAUUUUAAAAGCUAUUUCCAUAAUAUUUUCAUUAGAAUUUCUUAUAACAACAUCCAACAUUGGUUAUUGAUAUUUUAAGGUUUCAUCUUAAAUAAUAAUAACAAAAUAAUUAAAAUUUUAUCAAAAUUUAAGGAAAUACAUUGUACUUUGAUAAACAAGGAAUGUCAACUAAAUAUCGUCAAAAUAAAUAAUAAAUUUUUAAGUCGAGUUUUGGUUUCACAUAAUUGUAAUUAUGGAGACUAGUUAUUCGAAUAAAAUUUAAUUUCUUCUGUUUAUCAUUGUAACUUUACAUAGGGACAAUUGCAUGAUUAUAAAGGCAGGGUUUGAUAAGGAUUUUUUGGAGGUACCAAUAGGACCACUCAUGAGCCAUGACAAAAUUAAGCCCAUGCGAGGCCCACCUAAUCCAUUUUUACAUUUAGCCAAUUAGCCUGAAGAAUAAGACGAUAAUAAACAGUAAGCCUAAAUAAUAAGAUGAUAUGAAAGUAAGAAUAAGGUUAAGAUACCAAUUUUUUAGUCUUAACUUCUUAAGUCUUAAGUCUUAAUGUAACAUGUCAUUCAUUUAUUAGACGAUAAAUUUCAUAACUUGUAAAAUUAUUUAACCACCAUCCAAUAAAUGAUUGUCAUAUCUAUUGAAAUUUAAAUUUAAAUUUUAGAAUACUUAGCAUUGAGCUGAAUCUAAACGAUUUUAUUUUCUAUUAUUUUUAUUUUAUUUUAAUUUUUUUUCACAAUCGGAUUUUUCUUUGAGACAAUAGAAAGCCUUUUGGCUUUAAGUUUCUGAAAACCAAUAAUAAAAAAUUAUCCAUGAGUUUCUGAAAACCAAUUAACUUCAAAAUCUCUUCCAGCGCUAGGAGGAACAUCUUCAAUAACUUUUUCAUGACCUUUUGGGUAAUAAAUCCCAGUUCUUUCAUGAGGAACCCAGCUACAAUUCCCUUCAUUUUCUCCCACAUUAUUAUUCAUCUGCUGGCUCCUCAUCACAUUUCCUUCUUCCGCAUUGGAUUUCAAUGCUGUUUCUCUUAUCAUAUCAUUAGAACUUGCUUUCUUUUGAAAGGAUUUCCUCAUUAUUGGCCUAUAUGUUUCAAAAAGACUUAACAAAUUAAUAAUGUAAAAACAAAGACUAAAAUAUUCAAACACUCAAAUGAAUGAAAGUAAUCUCUUUUUAUUAUUGCGUGGACAGUGGCGAAAUCAGGAUUUUGGAUGUCAUCAAUAAUAGAGAAACAACAAAUUUUAAGUAGGUUAUAACACAAGAAUAUAAACAUAUGGGGGCUACAAAAUAAAAUUAUCAGACAUAAGGAUAAAUUUAAUUGAAGACUUUCAUAUUUCUUGAUAAUGUUUUUUAACCUGAGUCCCCUGUGGAGACAUAUUGAUUCAGUUAAUAAAACAUUUAAUUCUAUGUACUUAACCAACCACUCAUAAUUAGUAAUUACAUAAUUUGAAACUAUUAGGCCUAUUUCGAACGAACUGUUUCAUAACAAAAUUAAUUUAGAUAAAGUGAAAAGAUUUAUUUACAAACAUACCAUGCAAUAAUGAAGUGCGAUUGUCAAAAUGAAAUGAUGAAAUAGCAAAGUAGAUAGAUAAAAACAUGGAGUUAAAGGUGGGAGCUCCUCUAGCAAAUGAUCCUGUCAUCUUUUUCUUCUUUUUUCUCUCACUUUCUCUCUUUCCAAACAAUGUGGGUGGAAUGAAUUGAAUUAUGAUUUAGAUAGAGAGCUCUUUACAUAGUGAAGUUAAAUAAGAGAAUAUUGUUAUCUAUUUCUCUCAUCUCUAGGGAGAUCGUUUAUUGUACGUCAUUUUCUGUUUGGAUAAAUAUUAAAUUAUAACACUCUUUCUUGAUCAUUGGGGAGCACUCAUUGCAGAGCAUGGCCUUCUUUUGUUCCCUUUUGUUUUGUUUUUGUUUUUUAGUCAUCUAAGUUAUGGGACAUGGCUUGUGGACUCAGCUUUUAGAAACUUUCCCUAGAUAAGUAGUUGAAUCUAGGGGAGGUACUUUUUAGUUUUAUAAGUGACAUUGAUUCACCUCAUGAUUAGUGGCCAGAGAGAAUAAUUACGAAAAAAAAAUUUUAAUUGUUAAUUAAUUUUGUUGAAUAUAUUAAAAUAGCCAAGUUAAAUUUAUAAAAAUAGUUUCAUAAACUCUUAAAUCCAUAAAAUUUUAAUUUUGAGGAUUACAAAAACCACACUUUAACAGAUAUACAAAAAGAUUGUAAAGAUAUAAGAUGAGUCGUUAAUAAUUGCACGUGCAAACAUCGUAUAUUCUUUAUAAUUAAUUGUGCAGAUUUUCAUGACCAAUGCACCAGAUUUUGAUGACCAAUGCACCUGGGUGCGAAAACAAAAAUUAGAACAAAAUAUAUUAAUAAGGGAAGGCCACUCUUUUGUCAAUAUAUAUAUAUAUAUAUAUAUAUAUAUAUAUAUAUAUAUAUAUAGAGUUUGUUAUAAAAGAUUACCUCAGUAUCAAACUCUCCCGAUUCAACAUUGACAUUGAUGACAGUGAAAAUCUUUACAAGAUCCACCAAUAAUCCAGGUCGAUCAGCCGUCUCCACCAAAAGCAAACUUCAAUAAAACAAAAGGUAAACUAAACAAAAAUAGUAAGGACCAAAUUAUCUGACUACUUCAGUUAUGGGCAGGAAUUGCCACUUGGGCUGGAGUAUGAGUAGUAAUAAUGUGGGACCAAAGUUUGGUGGAUAGCAAAAGCCCCAUCAUCUAGAUAAGAGAAUGAAUUAUGCAUUGCCUUCGGUUGGGGCCAUCAUCAUAGAUGCUUAUGUGGGUUGCUAUGUCCACAUCAACCUGACAAAUUCCAGCACAACAAGAUUUGAGACAAGAUUGAAGUGGGACGUUAUCCUUCCCAUAAUAACUCAUAUACGUAGUUUUUAACAUUCACAACAUGAUAUUAAUUUCAAUGGCAGGCAAAUUGAAUAUAAUGUCUUUAAAGAAAAUGAGGAUAAAAGUGAAGUAAUAUUUGGCCUAAGAGAACUCUAAAACAACUUAGUUUCCUAUUCAAAUGAUCACUAGUGAGAAGAGCCAAAAAUAUCAAUAAUCUGAAAAAUCAAAAUAAGACCAGAAAGCAAAAACCUGUUGUUUUGGAGGAUCAACGCCAAAGGCAACACCCAUUGCCAACUGGGAACUUGAUUCCUGAUUCCAUCACCAACACAAAUGGAAUAAGCUUUUGAAUAAGACAAUUCCUACAGGUGCUCCACCAAGUGAUAUCUCAAGAGAGACAAAAAAAAAUGAUUACCGGGUGAUACUGAAGUAGAUUGUUUAUAACUGUCAAACAAAUUGCCUCAAGCACCUCAGGAUCAUCAACUUUCCUACCAGUAUCACCGCACACAAGCAUCAUGACCAAAUUAAUCAAAACCACAGUGGGAAUCUAUUGCAAGAACUGCUCCAAAAAACACCGAUGGCUCUUUGGAUCAUUGAUUUUAGGUUCUAGUAUGUCCAAAAUUUUAACGAUUUCAACAUUAGUGAUAAACAUCUAUUUGCAACAGACUGAUCAUACUUGUAUAUGGAGCAUCACAAGUAGGUAUUUACUAUGCUCAUCAAAUAUAGACCAGAAGACGUUGACAACAAUUAAAGGGUAUUAGUGAAUGAAACUGCAAGCAGAGAAUACAAAUCAGCUCAGUAAUGCAAGGGCAUGAAAAGCAAAAUGCAUAUGCAUCACAAAAUUAUAGAGAUAUAUAAUUUCGCAGUCAUAUGAUGAUAUUGCAGCGGUGAAGCCGUGCGUGAGGUUAAGGCAAGCGAUGGAAUGACUUGCGUUACAAAAGAGGUAUUUGCAAUGAUUGUGUACUGGACGGAAAUUGAAUCCAUGUUUAAGAAUUUACCGCCGGGGAAAAAAUGUCAAUACAAAGUCAAUGCGAACGAAUAGUGAAGUCAGCAGUCGCAAAGGCAAAGUUCUUAACCAGAUGGACUCCAGAUAGAUUAGCGGUGGCAGUUUCACAGCUGACAGAUGAACAAAGAAUGGCUGCUUGUCAAAUGGGCUUUGGUAGUUUUCUACAACUGAACCGUGGCAAGCUAAAAAGGAAACUUUGUGGCUAGUUAAUUGAGAUGAUUGAUACUUUGAGGUACAUUUUAGAGUUGAAUGGUAUUAGCUUUCGAACAAGAUCAUCAAAGAAACUCCACCAACCAGGAAAUUUAGACUUAAUCUAUGCUCUGCAAAUUCAUAUACUCUCUAAUAUGAAACUACUUUUAUGUGUUUUGUUAUUCCGACUUGGUAACGUUGUUAUGGAAGCCUGACAACUAUUAUGUCCGUGCAAUUUUUAUUGUAUCUUUUGUUAUGUCAUGAUAUCGAAGCUUGGUUUUCUGACUCCAACUACUAAGAACUGCAGUUGCAGCAUCUUUUGAAUAUUACAUAUGUGCUUGUAGUGUCUCCACGGAUUAAAAUCUGCUAUUUAAGUUCUUCUACCGCCCCCGCUUCUUCUUUCAUUUAUACUUGCUGCACCAUUUACUUCACACUCUGUAAAGCCAUAUGAAAGCUUGUUCAUUUAUGUUCACUUGCAAUUCAAAAGCAGUGUUUAUUUCAACUGUCAAAUUGACUACUUGCACGUAUUGAUUUCAGUCGAAACAAGGUUAUUGGUCGAUCCAGAAAUUGAAUCCAUAUGGCCAUUCCAGCAUCAUUCAACCACCUAAUUUCAAAUAUAUAAAUUAAUUCAACCCACUUAAGUGAUCAAAGGCGUGGAACAAAUCAUGAAAGAUUUUUCAGCUAUCAUAAAUUCGAACGGAUGUAGUUUGUAUUCUUUCAGGCUUAGACAGAUUUUUUGCAACAUAAACUUGUAUGUAAUGUACAUUUUUUUGUUCCUUACAAAUUAAUUGCUGCUAAAAUAAUUGUUUCGACCAAUAUUUAUUGUUAUAAUAGAGAAACCUUUUCUUGCAACUCAAACAGUUCCGAUGGCAUGAUCUGCAUCCCCUGUUUGCCUCUUGGGCUGCACGAUCUUGCUCCUUUUCAUCAAACGGCAACUUCGCUGCAGACAAAAAGAGGGGGUACAGUGCGCAGGGGCACCGUAGAUGUAGCCCAAAAAGAUGAUUUUGUCCCUCCAUGUCUAAGUAUUUUAACCAAAAAAUAAUAAUAAUUCCUUACAUCAUCAAUGAUUGCACUUGUAAAUCUAAGGGAUUAGAAUUCUGUAUUGAAUUUAUAUUUUAUUAAAUAAAAAAUUAAUGUUAAUUUUUUUUUUUUUUUAUCUAGCUAUCAUUGACUUUAUAUUUUGGAUCUUCAUCCAGAAUUAAGGCACAAAAUUUUUGUUCUAAAUAAAUAUUCUCAAUAUAAAUUUAUCACUUAAAUAAUAAUGAUAAGAUUUAAUAUUAAUUCUAUCAUUACUGAAAUGGAUUACAAAUUUUAUAUGACUUGUAAACGUAUCAUUAUGUUCUUGAUAUUUGAAACAUGAAUCAAGCAACAUAUGUAGCAUAUUUUUAUUUCAGUGUCGUGCUUCUCUAAAAAUUGUUGAAAGCAGAAGCCAAGCUGGCAUGCCUCCUGAGCUGGUGUGGUAGGUGAGUUGGAUUUGUUGAGCUGGCAAAUGAAAUUAUUUAUGAUGAUGCUGUGAAUUUAAUUGUCGUAUAAUGUUUGUGUAGAAUUAAGAAUGGAAGACAAUGUCGAUGAUGACAAGAAGAAUAGCAGCGCAUGUGAAUUGAAUAGUUGCAUCUUCUAGAAGCUUAAUGUGAUUGGUUCACAAUUGAAUUGAAUAGUUGCAUCUGCUAAUGAAGAAUAGCAGCGCAUGUGAAUUGAAUAGUUGCAUCUUCUAGAAGUUUGUCUCUGUAUGCAAACUAGCAAAGCUCUGUAUUUCAUUUUCAUUCAAGUCAUCAUAAUCAAUAAAGGCCUGAUUCUCAUACUCUGUUUGCAUUUGAAAGCAAUUCUUAAGAAUUUAAGUAAAAUGACCCUCACCAAAUUAGCUUAAUUCUUUUCAUUGUACCCAUUGCUUCACUUCCUCUUUUCGUCAACGACAAUGGGUAACUUAAUCUCAACCUUCUUACCAGCAGACUUAUUCGAUCGAACUUCAAACUGCGUUGGUGAACAAGCAAAAUAUGUAUGGGGUCUCGAAAAAAAUCUUCGGGUCUUGGAGACUGAAUUGCACAAAUUGACUCGAGCAAGGGACGAUCUGAAGACCAAGGUUGAGGUCGAAGAACAACGACCUCGAACCAGACGAACGAACCAGGUCGCAGGGUGGCUUGAAGAUGUGCAAAAACUGGAAACUGAAUUUACCGAGCUGGAACGAGUUAGAGCUCAAGAAAUGGAUAGAUUGUGCCUUGGAGGCCUCUGUUCCAAAAACUUCGUUUCAAGCUACAAUUACGGGACUCAGGUGGUCGAGUUGACGGAUCGAGUGAUCAAUUUAAAGAAAGACGGAGAAACAAUUGAAGUCGUUGUUGAGAAGGCGCCGGAUGGUGCAGCAAUUGAAUUACCUGUUGAUCACACGGUUGUUGGUCAAGAACGAUUACUUGAUCAAGUUUGGAGAUGUAUCACUGAUGAGGAAAAGAACAGGGGAAUUAUCGGCUUGUAUGGUAUAGGGGGAGUCGGCAAAACUACCCUUUUAAAACAAGUCAACAACAACUUCUGCCAUCAACGGCAUAUUUUUGAUGUUGUUAUCUGGGCGGCUGUGUCAACACUUCAAGAUGACAUUGGAAAAAGGAUUGGCUUUUCAGAAGCCAAGUACUGGAAGGAAAAAAGUCUUCAAGCUAAGGCUGUGGACAUCGCUGGCAUUUUAUGCCGAAAGAAGUUUGUGUUGUUAUUGGAUGAUAUAGGGGAACGGAUUGAUUUAACACAAUUGGGUGUCCCUCUUCAAAAACUAAAAGAUGGGUCCAAAGUAGUCUUGACAACUCGUUCAGCUGGUGUUUGCGAUCAAAUGGACGCUGAAAAGGUGGAAGUGUAUAGUUUGGCGCAUGAUAAAGCCUGGGAAUUAUUUCAGGAGAUGGUCGAAAGAUCCACUCUUGACAGUCAUACCAGUAUUCCAGAGCUAGCCGAAGCCUUGGCAAGAGAGUGUGGUGGGUUGCCGCUAGCGCUUAAAACAGUGGGUCGAGCCAUGAAAAGCCAAAGGAGAGUUGGAGAUUGGAAACGUGCAAUUAACAAAAUGAGAACAUCAGCUUCUAAAUUCUCAGGUAUGAAAGAAGAGGUGUUUUCGCGUUUAAAGUUCAGCUAUGAUAGUUUGUCUACGGAUGAACUUCGUUCCUGUCUCCUGUAUUGUUGUUUAUACCCUGAAGACUACAAAAUUCCUAAAAGGGAAUUGAUUGAUUAUUGGAUUAGUGAAGAAUUUGUGUGUGAUUUUGAUGGUGGAUGCGAUUUUAUUGAUGACCUUCUUCAUGCAUGCUUAUUGGAGGAAGAAGGCGAUGAUCAUGUAAAGAUGCACGAUAUGAUUCGUGAGAUGUCAUUAUGGAUAGCGUGCACGGUAGACAAGGAGGAGCAGAACUUUCUGGUUCGCGCUGGAGUUGAAUUGACCGAAGCACCAAAGUUUGAAGAAUGGCAAGGUGCCAAACGGGUAUCUCUGAUGGGAAAUGGAAUUAGGAGCUCAUCGGAAAUUCCCACGUGUCCGCGCCUCGUAACUUUACUUCUUUCAAUCGAUGUCUUCUCUUAGAGUAUUAAGUCUAAGAGGAAAUUUUCCCCUAAGAACACUACCUUCAGGGAUUUCAGGUUUGGUUUCAUUACAUCAUCUUGAUCUAUCAUCGACUAACAUAACUGGGUUGCCGCAAGAGCUGAAGGCGUUGGAGAAGUUGAGAUAUUUGAACUUGGACUAUACACGGUUUUUGUCUAUAAUUCCACAUCAAUUGAUAUCUGGUUUUUCAAAGUUGGAGGUACUCAGGUUGCUUUCACGCGGUCGCUGGAGCGUAAUAGAAGGUAACGUUCUAUGUGAUGAUGCUGAACCUUUGAUGAAGGAAUUGCUGGGUUUGAAGCAUUUAAAUGUUUUAAGCUGGACCUUCCGAAGUUCACUUGCUGUCCAAAAGUUUUUGAAAUAUCCAAAGCUGGUGAGCAUCACUCAAUCUGUAAUGGUUUGCCAAUGUGAAAGUCCACCGUUCAAUGUCUUACAUCUAGCAUACAUGGAGAAUCUUCAGGAGUUACGCAUUUCAGACAGUAAUUUGGAAGAGAUGAAGACUGACAGCACAGAAGAGGUAAAGAAACUUUUUCAAAGUGGUUUCCGCAGUCUCGACAGAGUUGUCAUAUGGAGUUGCCAAAAAAUGAAAGACUUAACGUGGCUAGUUUUUGUUCAAAUUCUCAAGCAGCUGCGUAUAGUCUUUUGUACAGAAAUGGAAGAAAUAAUUAGUGUUGAUAAAUUGAGAGAUAUUUCGAAGAUAAUCGGGUCAGAGCAUAACUUUUUUGCACAACUCGAAUCUCUAACCAUAAAGUGGGGAAGAAAUUUAAAGAGCGUUUACCCGAAUCCCCUGCCCUUUCCAAAGCUGAAGAAAAUUGAAGUACGUGAAUGCCCACAGCUGAAGAAGCUCCCACUCAAUUCCAGCAGCGCGAAGGAACGUCGAGUUGUCAUCGAGGGGUCGAAAAAAUGGUGGGAAGAGCUACAAUGGGAGGACCAAGCCACCCAAAAUGCUUUCUCUUCCGGUGUCGUACUUGGGGAUGAUUUUCAUUAAUAUGUUUGAAUAUGUAUUUCUUUUCUUUUUCUUUUUUUUUUUAAUUUUCAUUAGAUUUAAUUGCAUCUUGUUGUUGUUGUCUGGUGUGUCAAUCGUUAUCUAUUUUCAGUUAAUAAAAUUUCAGCAGUGGAUUCUUGGUUUUAGAAUCCUCCCACUGGAAAGAAUUUCUCCUUUGGCUUGAAUGCGACCUUUUUACUCGUCGACAAAAUUGUAUUUGUCGCUUAAGUCUUGUUUGUUUUAAAAUGCUGGCAUAUUUAUAGAGUGGGAACUCAGAUGCUGAACUCAUAGUAAAUAUUUAUUUAAUUUGUUAUAAUUAUAUUUGGUGAGAUAUUUAUUCAAUAAUUGCCCUAUCACUUUGUGCAUGAUCACAGAAUUUUGUACUUCCGUCUGUGAAAUAACUUUUGGAAAAGGAAAUUAAUUUUUUUAAGUAACGGUAAAUAUUUUAAAUUUUUAUUUUAAAUUUUAUUUUAAAUAAUAUAGUAUGUAAUGUGUCAUUUAUUUAGUGAUUGAUAAUUUAAUAUAGGAUUUAAAUAAAUUAAUUAUGCUAUUUUAUUAUUUAAUUAAUAAAUAUUAUAUAAUUUAAAAUAGAUUUUUGAGAUAAAAAUUAUAAAAGUAAAAUUCUACUCAACAGACUAAAUUUAAAAUGAUGUGAUUGGCAGGUAAGACUUAAGAAUUAGACAAAAUUUCUCAUUCAACAGCUUGUAGAAAAUUUAUACACUAGGCCUUAGCUAAACUUGGACUUGUCGUAUGUUUGAAGUAUUCGACGAUAAUCAUAUCUGCAUUUUUAUUUUAUUUUUUAUUUUUGGUUUGUUUAGGGCUUUUCAUCGGUUUUCGUCUUGGUCUUUGUCCUGGUCUUGGCGUCUUGCUAUCAAAUCAAGUGUUCUCUUCUCCUAUCCUCUAAUGAAAGUGCAGGGCCUCAACUAUUUGUUACUGCUAUCACUUUAGAGGUUGAUGCUAAUGUCCGAAGGUCACGUUUAAUUUGCUUGAAUGUGACCUUUACUUUGGUUGACAAAAUUGUGAUUGUCACAAAGAACAAACUAUAAAAGUGCAGUUUAAAUCGAACACUGAAUUCCCUAUGGAAAUUUUCGCACCCGUAUAUAUAUUCUACAUUAUUUGGUUGCAAAGACUAUAAUUAACAAGAAGCUAAUAUAUAUAGUAGAGAGAGAAAUAACAAGUUCAAUGUUGGUAAAAUUUUAUCUUCCCUUCACUGCUCUCCUUUGCUGCAAUCAAGUGGCCUCACUUACAAAUUUUGACUUUUAAUUAUUUCAAUUAACACAAGAAAAAAAGGGCAAUAUAGUUUACAUUACUCUAUCAGCCUUAUAUAAAGGGUAUAAAUAUGAGAGUGCGUUUGGAAUUGAAGUCGGACACUUGUCGCUUAAAAGCUACAGUAGCAAAGUGUUUGGUAAAUACUAAUUGUUGUGUCUUGAAAGAUAUGUUGAUAUGAUUUUUCACUUGUAUAAUAGAGAAUUUAUUAUUUUAUUAUUAAUAAUUUCGUUAAAAUUAUUAUUUAAAAUUUAUAUUUAUUAAAUAUUAUUAACUUUUGUUUUAUAGUUACAAUUUUUUUUUUUUACAGCAACUGUACCUUAAAAGUUAUAACACUUCAAUUCCAAACGUACCUUAAGUCUGUAAGGCAUAAGUUUUCACUCUUCGGGAAUCUAAGGAGAUUAGGGCAAGAGCUGCACAUUUGUAGUCUCAAAUUCAUUUGACAUCAGCCAAUUUAAUGUCUAUGGACGGGUAUAAAGGACGUCACAGACGGUUAAAGAACAAGGUGUUUGAUGGAAAUGUCAAGAAGUUCGAUGAAAUGUCUCACCUACACAACCAAGCCACUUAACAUUGCAGUCUUAUAAUACAAUUCCUACCUUCUCUUCCAUUUUCACCAACAUAAUUCUUUCUUUCUCACUUUAUUUUCUUCCUUGAAAUUUUUGUUAACAAAAAUGGGUAACAUCAUUCUCAUGCGUGCUUCUUAUCACCAGACUCAAUUCUUGCAGUUUUAUUUUAUUUUAUUUUUCCUUCGUGGAGAUGCUAAAAUAUAUAUGAGAUCUAAAAAGCUAAUCUUGAUGAGUUGCAGAAUCCAAUGCAGAAUUUGAAAGUUACAAAAGAUUAUAAAUACUAUUUUAACUUGUAAGCUUCCAUUGCUAUACAGUGAGGUAUGUCUAGAUAUCAUUUUGGUCUUUUAUAUAUUGGGUUCCAGUGAAAGACUUUUGUUCUAGUUGAAUUUAAUUUUGUCUUUGUAUUUACAGACAAAAUAUUAGGGACAUUUAUCAUACAUAUUUGGCUAGUUCGCCGUGGAAAAAUAAUAAUAGUUGAAAAGACAUAGGGUACUUUUUAUUUUCCUUUAUAUUACUAAUAGAUUUCCCACGCGCAACAGACGAAGUCAUUGCUGCUUCAAUAAUUGCCCUAUCACUGUGUUCAUCAUCACAAAUUUCUUUAUUACGUUUGUGAAAUAACCAUUGCAUAAAAAAAUUACUCCAACUUUUUAACUAAUAAUAGAUAUCUCAAAUUUUAUUUUCAGAAUAUGGUAUGUAAUGUAAGCGAUCGAUAGUUCUUUAUAAAAUAUAUAAAUAAAUUAAUAGUGUUAUCUUAGUGUCUAAUAUAUAUAAAUGACUUUCUCCAUAUAUUGCACUAUUGAUAUGGGCUAAAGUUUUAUACUAUGAGACCCAAUUUCUAUAAUUUACACUAUAAGUUAAAAGUAUUUAGAAAAAUACUAUUGCAAAUCAAAAGGUAUUAUCUAUUUUAUACCUAAAGCAUUUUCACUAUUUAAGACUAGUAAAAUUUCUAUAUUAUUAUAAUAUUAGAAUCAAACACCAAUAAGCGAGUAAAUCAGGUGGAAUAAGAAUGUUCUAACUUAACCAAGGUCCUCGGUUUGAAACUUAGAAAUGCAACUACAUUAAAUACUUAUUGGGAGAGAUUUGCCGCUUUAGUGGUUCUAUCCGGCUCGAAUCUAGAUUAGUCGGGGAUCUAAUGUGGUCUUUGGAUACUAGAUGAUUUAAUAUACCGAUAAUAUUGGAACCAAACUCAUUUACAAUUAUGAAGAGGUUAUAAUUUAAUAGAGGCAUAGUAACAAACUAUUAAUAGAGAGUAUAAAAUUUAAUGUAUAAACAAAAUUCUAUAAUUUACACUAUAAGUUGCAAGUAUUUAGGUCAAUACUAUUGCAAAUCAGAAGAUAUUAUAUAUUUUAUGCCGAAAAUAUUUCCACUAUUUAAGGCUAGUAAAACUUCUAUAUAAUUAUAAUAUUGGAACCAAACACCAACAAGCGAGUAAAUCAACUAGAAUGGAAAUGUUCUAACGUCAAGGUCCUCGGUUCAAAACUUAGAAAUGCAACUACAUUAAAUAUUUAUUGGGAGAGAUUUGCCGCUCUAGUAGUUCUAUCCGGGUCGAAUCUGGAUUAGUCGGGAAUCUAAUGUGGUCUUUGGAUACUAGAUGAUUUAAUGUACCAAUAAUAUUGGAACCAAACUAAUUUACAAUUAUGAGGAGGUUAUAAUUUAAUAGAGGCGUAGUAACAAACUAUUAAUAGAGCGUAUCAAAUUUAAUAUUGGAAUCCGAUGAUUGGUUGCAACAUAAGAUAUUUGUAAGCUUAGUUAAAGGUUCAUUAAAAAUUAUAGAGAUAUAUAAUUUCGCAGUCGACGAAGCCAUGCAUGAGGUUAAGGCAAGUGAUGGAAUGACUUGCGUUACAAAAGAGGUAUGUGAAGUUGCACUAUAAAAAUAAAAUAAAUUUGUAUUUUCAAGUAGUGAAGGUGUAGUUAGUUUAUUUGCGGUAGCAGUUUCACAGCUGACAGAUGAACAAAGAGUGGCUGCUUGUCAAAUGGGCUUUGGUAGUUUGCUACAAUUGAACCGUGGCAAGCUAAAAAGGAAACUUUGUGGCUAGUUAAUUGAGAUGAUUGAUACUUUGAGGUACAUUUUAGAGUUGAAUGGUAUUAGCUUUCAAACAAGAUCAUCAAAGAAACUCUACCAACUAGGAAAUUUAAACUUAAUCUAUGCUCCGCAAAUUCGAAUAUUCUCUAAUAUGAAACUACUUUUAUGUGUUUUAUUAUUCCUAGCUUUUACCGACUUGGUAACGUUGUUAUGGAAGCACGACAACUAUUAUGUCCGUGUAAUUUUUAUUGUAUCUUUUGUUAUGUCAUGAUAUCGAAGCUUAGUUUUAUGACUCUAACUACUAAGAACUGCAAUUGCAGCAUCUUUUGAAUAUUACAUAUGUGCUUGUAGUAUCUCGACGGAUUAAAACCUGCUAUUUAAGUUCUUCUACCCCUCCCCCCCUUCAUUCUUUCAUUUAUACUUGCUGCACUAUUUACUUCGCACUCUGUAAAGCCAGAUGAAAGCUUGUUCAUUUAUGUUCACUUGCAAUUCAAAAGCACAGUUUAUUUCAACUGUCAAAUUGACAACUUGCACGUAUAGAUUUCAGUCGAAACAAGGUUAUUGGUCGAUCAAGAAAUUGAAUCCAUAUGGCCGUUCCAGCGUUAUUCAACUACCUAAUAUCAAAUAUAUAAAUUAAUUCAACCCACUUCUGUGUCAAAGGCAUGGAACAAAUUAUGAAAGAUUUUUCAGCUAUCAUAAAUUCGAACGAGUGUAGUUUGUAUCCUUUCGAACUUAGACAGAUUUUCCUUCCAUUAACCUUACAGUGUUAGUAAUCCUAUUACUUGUUUUUAAAGCUUGAAUAGUAUACCGAAAUUUUUGGUUUUUGCAACAUAAACUUGUAUGUAAUGUACAUUUUAUAGUUCUUUACAAAUUAAUUGCUGCUAAAAUAAUUGUUUCGACUACUAUAUUUAUUGUUAUAAUAGAUAAACAUUUUCUUGCAACUCAAACAGUUCCAAUGGCAUGAUCUGCAUCCCCCGUUUGCCUCUUGGGCUACGAACCUGCUUAACAGCUGCACCAUCUUGCUCCUUUUCAUCAAACGGCAACUUCGCUGCAGACAAAAAGAGGGGGUACACUGCCCAGGGGCACCAUAAACGCAGCCCAAAAAGAUGAUUUUGUCUUUCCAUGUCUUAGUAUUUUAACCAAAAAUAAUAAUAAUAAUUCUUUACAUCAUCAAUGAUUGCACUUGUAAGCCAGGCAAUAGUUUUUUUAUUAAAUAAAAAAUUAAUGUUAAAUUUUUUUUUUUUUUUUUUUUUUUUUAUCUAGCUAUCAUUGACUUAAUAUUUUGAAUCUUCAUCCAAAGUUAAGGCACAAAACUUUUAUUCUAAAUAAAUAUUCUCAAUAUAAAUUUAUCACUUAAAUAAUAAAUAAUAAGAUUUAACAUUAAUUCUGUCGUUACUGAAAUGAAUUGUAAAUUUUAUAUGACGUGUAAACGUAUCAUUAUGUUCUUGAUAUUUGACAUAUGAAUUAUAAAGCAACAAAUGUAUCAUAUUUUAUUUCGGUAUUGUGCUUCUCCAUAUUUGCUUAAUUCUUUUCGUUGUACUCAUUGCUUCUCUUCCUCUUUUCGUCAACGACAAUGGGUAACCUAAUCUCAACCUUCUUACCAGCAGACUUAUUUGAUCGAAUUUCAAACUGCGUUGGUGAACAAGCAAAAUAUGUAUGGGGUCUCGAAAAAAAUCUUCGGAUCUUGGAGACUGAAUUGCACAAAUUGACUCGAGCAAGGGCCGAUCUGAAGACCAGGGUUGAGGUCGAACAACAACGACCUCGAACCAGACGAACGAACCAGGUCGCAGGGUGGCUUGAAGAUGUGCAAAAUCUGGAAACUGAAUUUGCCGAGCUGGAACGAGUCAGAGCUCAAGAAAUGGAUAGAUUGUGCCUUGGAGGCCUCUGUUCCAAAAACUUCGUUUUAAGCUACAAUUACGGGACUAAGGUGGUCGAGUUGACGGAUCGAGUGAUCAAUUUAAAGAAAGACGGAGAAAAAAUUGAAGUCGUUGUUGAGAAGGCGCCGGAUGGUGCAGCAAUUGAAUUACCUCUUGAUCACACAGUUGUUGGUCAAGAACUAUUACUUGGUCAAGUUUGGAGAUGUAUCACUGAUCAGGAAAAGAACAGGGGAAUUAUCGGCUUGUAUGGUAUAGGGGGAGUCGGCAAAACUACCCUUUUAAAACAAGUCAACAACAACUUCUGCCAUCAACAGCAUAAUUUUGAUGUUGUUAUCUGGGCGGCUGUGUCAACACUUCAAGAUGACAUUGGAAAAAGGAUUGGCUUUUCAGAAGACAGAAACUGGAAGGAAAAAAGUCUUCAAGACAAGGCUGUGGACAUCGCUAGCAUUCUAAGCGGAAAGAAGUUUGUGUUGUUAUUAGAUGAUAUAUGGGAGCCCAUUGAUUUAACACAGCUGGGUGUCCCUCUUCAAAAUCUAAAUGAUGGGUCCAAAAUAGUCUUGACAACUCGUUCAGCUGGGGUUUGCGAUCAAAUGGACGCUGAAAAGGUGGAAGUGUCUAGUUUGGCACAUGAUGAAGCCUGGAAAUUAUUUCAGGAGAUGAUCGAAAGAUCCACUCUUGACAGUCAUACCAGUAUUCCAGGGCUAGCCGAAACCCUGGCAAGAGAGUGUGGUGGGUUGCCGCUAGCGCUUAAAACAGUGGGUCGAGCCAUGAAAAGCCAAAGGAAAGUUGGAGAUUGGAAACGUGCAAUUCACAAAAUGACAACAUCAGCUUCUAAAUUCUCAGGUAUGAAAGAAGAGGUGUUUUCGCGUUUAAAGUUCAGCUAUGAUAGUUUGUCUACGGAUGAACUUCGUUCCUGUCUCCUGUAUUGCUGUUUGUAUCCUGAAGACUACGAAAUUCCUAAAAGGCAAUUGAUUGAUUAUUGGAUUAGUGAAGGAUUUGCGUGUGAUUUUGAUGAUGGAUGCGAUUUUAUUGAUGACCUUCUUCAUGCAUGCUUAUUGGAGGAAGAAGGCGAUGAUCAUGUAAAGACGCACGAUAUGAUUCGUGAGAUGUCAUUAUGGAUAGCGUGCACGGUAGACAAGGAGGAGCAGAACUUUCUGGUUCGCGCUGGAGUUGAAUUGACCGAAGCACCAAAGGUUGAAGAAUGGGAAGGUGCCAAACGGGUAUCUCUGAUGGAAAAUAAAAUUGAAAGCCUAUCGGAAAUUCCCACGUGUCCGCGUCUCGUAACUUUACUGCUGGAUGAAAAUCGGAUUGAGGAGAUCACUGAUGGCUUCUUUCAAUCUAUGUCGUCUCUUAGAGUAUUAAGUCUAAGAGGAAAUUUUCCCCUAAGUACACUACCUUCGGGGAUUUCAGGUUUGGUUUCAUUGCAUCAUCUUGAUCUAUCAUCGACUCACAUAACUGGGUUGCCGCAAGAGCUGAAGGCGUUGGAGAAGUUGAGAUAUUUGAACUUGGACUAUACAGAGUACUUGUCCAUAAUUCCACAUCAAUUGAUAUCUGGCUUUUCAAAGUUGGAGGAACUCAGGUUGUUUGCGUCCGGUCGCUGGGGCGUAAUAGAGGAAGAAGAAGGUAACGUUCUAUGUGAUGAUGCUGAACCUUUGAUGAAGGAAUUGCUGGGUUUGAAGCAUUUAAAUGUUUUAAGCUGGUCCUUCCGAAGUUCACUUGCUGUCCAAAAGUUUUUGAAAUAUCCAAAGCUGGUUAGCAUCACUCAAUCUGUAUGGGUUGAAUGUGGCAUGUAUACAAGGCCACCGUUCAAUGUCUUACAUCUAGCAUAUAUGGAGAAUCUUCAGGAGUUGCGUCUUUCUCAGAGUGAUUUGGAGGAGAUGAAGAUUGACAGCACAGAAGAGGUGAAGAAGCUUUUUCAAAGUGGUUUCCGCAGUCUCGACACAGUUGAUCUAUUUUAUUGCCAAAAAGCGAAGGACUUAACGUGGCUUGUUUUUGUUCAAAACCUCAAGGAGCUGCGUAUAGUGUAUUGUGAAUACGUGGAAGAAAUUAUCGGGGCUGAUAAAUUGAGAGAUAUUUCAGAGAUAGUGGGGUCAGAGCAUAACGUUUUCGCAGAACUCGAAUUUCUAUCCUUAUGGGGGGGAAUAAAUUUAAAGAGCGUUUACCCGAAUCCCCUGCCCUUUCCAAAGUUGAAGAAAAUUCAAGUACUUCAUUGCCGACAGCUGAAGAAGCUCCCACUCAAUUCCAGCAGCGCGAAGUUACGUCGAGCUGUCAUCGAGGGAACGAAAAAGUGGUGGGAAGAGCUACAAUGGGAGGAUCAAGCCACCCAAAAUGCUUUCUCUUCCGGUGCCGUACUUACUGAGUUUCCUUUUUAUUAAUAUGUUUUAAUAUGUAUUUCUUUUUCUUUUCUUUUUUUAAUUUUCAUUAGAUUUAAUUGCAUCUUGUUCUUGUUGUCUGGUGUGUCAAUCGUUCCCUACUUUCAGUUAAUAAAAUUUCAGCAGUGGAUUCUUGGUUUAUUAAUGUUUAUAUAACUGAAUUGUUCAGCAGAUGUACUCUGCACGACUAACACAGAAAUAAACACAGAAAUAAAUAUAUGUAAGGGGUUACAGGACUGACUCUGCUUCUGGCUUCUAAGGAGAAAGAGGGGAAAAUAAACAUUUUAUCUUCCCUUAACUGCUCUCCUUUGGUUUGAAUGUGAACUUAACACUCUUUUAUUAUUAAAAUUUAAUUAUUUGGUUGUAUAAUAUAUUUCUCCAAUAAACGAAGAAUGAUAAAGGAGCAACUAAAAAAACCCAUCAAAAUAUUUCACCAAUGAAAAGAUUCAUGAGAAAUAAACAUUAUAAUCCGAACAAAUAAAUCAAUUAGUCAAUAUAUCAUUUAGCCGAAUUAAAGACGCUGCUUGCGCUUCGUAGUUCUGAGCUUAGAAUCAAGUAGAGAACUGAAUAUGAAAUUUUUAAUUGCUGAGAAUAUGAAUUUGAGGUUGAUGGACGACUUGAAAGAGAGGGACAAGAAAGAAUGAUACAGAGCAGGUGGCUGGCAAAAGGGACCUUAUGACGAUCUUCUUCAGUACAGCUAUGAUGCCGCUUCCACCUUCAAUUGAAUGUCAGAAAAUUCAAAGUUUGUCAAAAGAGGAUGGUAAAUUAAGCUGUUUUUUUUUUUUCUUUUUUGCAAAAUUUACCAAGUGAAUUAAUCCAUUAUUUUAUCUAUCAAUCAGUACACAAUCUACAUUACCCCACGCUAACAAAACACUGACUAUAAAUCUAUGACUAUACAAUGCGCACUUUGGUUACUGCCCCAGCCCUCUUACCCAAAAGAACCACAAAAGCAACGAAAAACUAAAUUGAUUACAUAAUCAAAUCAAGUUCUUCUUAGCUACUGUGAUCGAUUUGUCCAGCACCAUCAGUUAAUUUCUCUAGUUUUCAGCAAAAAUGGUCGAGUUCUUGAGUCUUCUUUGCACGUUUCAUCUCAUUUAUUCUGUCGAUAAAGCUUAUACACAUCAUCCGCAACGACAACAAAUUAAAUUAAUAUGUGUCGAGUUUUGGAGCCAGAGCCAGCGGUGCAAGCGCAAGAGAAAGGGACUUCACACAAGAAUUUGCCAGACCAUGGGCUACAGAAAGGUGCCUCACUUCACGGACGCGGAAUUUGGUUGGCUCCUGGGCCAUUAAGGGUGAAUGCAUCUUUCUUUUUAUGUGAAUUUAAUUAUUGAACCCGGUAUCUUGAAUAAAUAUAAAUUUGACUGUAGCACCAAGUAUCAAUGAUUGCAAAAUGUAAAUUUGACAUAUUGUGUGGUUAAAUCAUCUUGUACUAAUCGUUUAUGUUAAUUUAUGGAGGCCUUAAUGUCCAAGGCAUACGUAAAGGGGUACAGGACUGACUCUGCUUCUGGCUUCUAAGGAGAAUGAGGGGAAAAUUUUAUAAACAUUUGUGGAGUGGCCGUAUAAAGGACGUGUGGUUCUCAAUCCAUUUCACAUUUGGCAUUGUAAUGUUUAUGGACUCAUAUAAAUGAUGUCACACAAAUAGUUAAACGAAGAAGGUGUUUGAUGAAAACGAAAGGGCCUUUUUCUUUUUUUAAAUCCCGCUAAAGGUUAUAAUUAACAACAAAUUAAUAAUAGAAGAGAGAGAAAUACCAAGUUCAAUACGGUAAUAUUUUAUCUUCCUUUUAACUGCUCUCCUUUGGCUUAUAAUGCGACCUUUACACUCGUGGACAAAAUUGUAUUUGUCGCUUAAGUCUUGCUUGUUUUAAAAUGCUGGCAUAUUUAUGGAGUGGGAACCCAGAUGCUGAACUCAUAGUAAAUAUUUAUUUAAUUUGUUAGAAUUAUUUUUGGUGGGAUAAUUUUAAAUAUUAAUUUAACAAGAUAGUGAUGUUUGCCUUGCCCUACAUGGAAAAAAUAAUAAUAAUUAAAGUUUUUUCUGUUCCUUUAUAUUAGUAAUAGAUUUCAGAUGGGAAACAGAAAAUUUAUUUCUGUUUCAAUAAUUACCAUAUCACUGUGUGCGUGCGUGAUCACAUAAUUUUGUACUACCGUCUGUGGAAUAACUUUAGGAAAAGAAAAUUAAUUUUUUUUAAGUAACAAUAAAUAUUUUAAAUUGUUUUCUUCUCUUAUCAAUUGUUUUUUUCUCCUAUCUUCCAAUGAAAGUGCAGGACCUCAAUUAUUUUAAUAGAGAUGUAGUAAUAAAUUAUUAGGGGAUCCAUAAAAUAAAUAUACAUGGUUUCAAAAAAGUUAGCACAUGCUUGUUACAAAUAUAAAAAAUUAUCUUAAAAGUCUCGGAACUUUUGUGUUCUCUUUAAUAUUUUUUUCUUAUGUUGUUAUUGUACUAUAUGGAUACAAGGGUGCGUUUGGUACGUUGUAUUAUAUUAUGUUGUAUUGCAUUAUUUUAAUAUAGGUAUAUUACAUUAUGUUGUGUUGUAUUAGUAAUGUAUUAUAAUAAUGUUGUACAAUGUUUGGUACUAUACUGUAUUGUAUUAAUUUUUAAUUAAUAUUAUUCAAAUGUAUUCAUAUUUAAAUAUUUAUUAUUAGUUAUAUUAAAUUAUUUAAAAAUAACUAGUUUAAUUAUUUUAAUAUAAUUAAAUAAUAUUAUAAUAUAUUAUAUUAUUUAAGUAUUUAUUAUUAGUUAUAUUAACUUAUUAAAAAUUAAUCAAUUAUAUAUAUUAAUUAAUAUAAUUUUACAUAUUAAUUAAUAUAAUAUAAUUAAAUAAUACAUUUUUUAGUUGUACAUUUACUAUAAUAAAAAUUAAAAUAUAAUAUAAUAUUAAAUUAAAAAUUAUAUUCAUUUAUUAUUAUUACAAAGUAUAAAAAAAAAAAAAAAAGGAAGCUAAAGCUAAUGCGGUAACUGGACACAUUAGCUAAACCCGACUAUAACAUAUGUCGGGUUUAGCUAAUACAACCAUUUGGUACCUCAGACAUGGUGCUGCAUUGCUAAUGCAAUGUAAUCCCAGGUAAAGAGGGGUACCAGACAACCCCCAAGUUCACUUAAUGUAACAUAACAUACUUUUUUUUUCUAUAUAUAUAUAUACACUACGUGGAAGUGAGCUCCUUAAGGUGAGAUUUAGCAAAAUUAUAAAUUAUUACAGCAUGAAAUUUAUUUUUAUUUAUAAUUGGCCUAAUAUAAAUUAGGACCAGUACUUUUAUAGCUAUAUGAAAUUAUUUUUAUAUAAAAUAUCACUACAUAAAUGUUUUAUUACAAUAUUAAUCUCUUUUUUUUAUUGUAUUUAUCUCUUCAUAAUCUUUUCCUUUUUAUAAAAAAAAAAAAUCAACUAAAAGAUUCAUCAACAUCUCAUUCCAACAAUCUACUAGCGAAAAUGAGUGUCCAUGCUUUUGAACCAAGGCCCGAUAUGUGAGGGAGAGAUUGUUGGGUUGUCUUACAUCGGUUGUGAACUAGGAUGGUGGUGAUUUUACAAGUGUGAGGGAAAGUCUCACCCCUUAUCCAUCUUUUGGGUUGGGAUUGAAUGAGACCCAAAACCGCUUAACAUGAAUUCUAUCACUGGGAUUUUUACCCAGUAUAACAAACAUAACAACACAAUGAAUUAUCAAUUUAUCACGUAAUGGCUCUAACUUUAGCGAUGAUCACCUUACAUGAACAUGAAAAUUAAUCCCAUUGUUUAACUCAACAAUGACGAUAAUCACUUAAACUCUUAUGCACCAAAGGAUAUACUCGCUACAGGGAAUCUUAACUCAUAAAGAUUAAUUUUAGUGGGGGGCAAAAGAGCACGAGUGAUCCAAACCACUAAACAACAUCAUAACCAACACAAAAUUUAUACUAAACAAACCAUUACCAAAACAGCAAAGCUAGACAUAAAUUUGAACAGAUACACAAGCUACAUUCAUUACCAUAAUGUAUCGACUAAAUUUCCAAGCUCUACAUUUUGAACAAAGAAUUUAUAAAAUUACAUAAUCUAAUAAAUUAAUAUAGAAAUAAAAUUGGCAUCAGAUCAAAUUACUAUUAAUGUACCUUGCAUAAACCAUUCUCUUCUAUCGGCAUUCACCUCCGCGCUCGAUUGGCUCUCCUGUGCUGCUUGUCUAAUUGAUUCAAAUCCACAUAGACAAAUUUAAGCAUAUUAAGUUUUCAAACUCAAAUCAACAGCUUUAAAAGUUACUUCACAAACAAUGAAUUUCAUUUUCGAAAUACAAAGAAUCCGUUCAGUUUAAAACAAUAAAAAAUCGUCUACGACUACUCAACUCAUGUAUGAUAACUAAAAAACGAAGGAUACCCACAAAAAUUAAAGAUAAAUUACCAAAAACCCAAAAAACUCAAGCCAAAAUUGCCAAAAAAAAAGCGAGAGAAUGGAAAUUGGCGUACCAGGGGCAGGAGAGAGGAAACGAGAAGAGGAAGAAAGAAGGGUUUUGGAGAGAGUGGGAAUUAGUGGAGGCAAAAAUGGAGAGUUUUGAGAGUGAGAUGAUUGGUGGGGUGGUGAUGGCGGUGGUGGGGUUAAUGUUCUGGAGGGUAUGCUGAAGAGAGGUCGCAAGAGAACCUCCAUAGCCUUUAAAGAGAGUUGAGUUGCUGCUUUCUUUUGCCGUGGAUGGAGAGAGAUUAAGGGAUUAGAAUUCUGUAUUGAAUUAAUUUUUUAUUAAAUAAAAAA
RNAcentral lists this long non-coding RNA (32206 nucleotides) under Citrus maxima (pomelo). Its description in RNAcentral is "long non-coding RNA (CMAX_LNC000887)". The record is from RNAcentral. Lineage: Eukaryota; Viridiplantae; Streptophyta; Magnoliopsida; Sapindales; Rutaceae.